Molecule: non-coding RNA, 177 nt
Filed under: Gammaproteobacteria bacterium
Lineage: Bacteria; Pseudomonadati; Pseudomonadota; Gammaproteobacteria
Description: 6S RNA
Rfam family: 6S / SsrS RNA
About the family: E. coli 6S RNA was the first non coding RNA to be sequenced, but its function was unknown until recently. It consists of 184 nucleotides that fold into an extended hairpin structure with a large single-stranded internal bulge.
Source: RNAcentral
AAAGGUGAGCGUUUUGAGUGGCAUGGCAUUUCUGAGCCGAUACUGAAAUAUGCCGGAGCCCGGGUUCGUGAUCGUGGUGUGCAAGCCUGCCUCGUAGCAGGAAGCCUAAAGUGAUCCAAUCCAAUUCCACCUAGUGGGAUGUGUGGUUCAGAAUCAGUGCCAACGAAAUGCUCUUUA